Molecule: long non-coding RNA, 2380 nt
Filed under: Olea europaea subsp. europaea
Lineage: Eukaryota; Viridiplantae; Streptophyta; Magnoliopsida; Lamiales; Oleaceae
Source: RNAcentral
GAAUCCAAAAUAAAAUUAUAUAUGGAUCCAAAAUAAUCCAAACCCUAGACUAAUAAUUCACGCCUCUCCCCUCUCUUCUCCUCUUCUUCGCUCCCCUAAAUUCAUGUUGAUUUUACCAAAUAAUUACAAAAUCACGUCGGAUCGAACUCCAAAAUGCAGACUUUCAUCAUUUUUUUUAAACGCUUAAAUCUCUCAACGGCUUUAGAACACAAUUCAAAUCCAAAAAGCUCGGAACUAAAAAUUAGAAUAGACUAACCAUUUUGUAGGUAGGGGCCAUACUCAGUGGCGGAGAGAUGCAUUUUGAUGUCCUCGAGGGUUUCGCAUUGGCAGAGGUUGUUGUAGUCGGAAGCAGUGAGGAGUCCAAAUCGAUGGCCUCGUACAAUCGUCUCCAGGUACCCUCCGUGAAUGUUGAAGGUCAGGGCUUCGAAUCCAUACAUUUUCUACAGAUUUGAAGCAAAUCGUAUAGUUUAGAAAGGUAAAAUUUAUGAAACCCUGAAAGGAAACCCUGAGCGAUGCUUUUAGAUUCUUUGAUUUACUAAUGGAGGGAAAUUCUGCGGUGUUGAUGUAUGAAAGUUUAAAGAGAAUUUGUUAAUUUUGAAAAUGUGGUUCUUGUACAAUAGAAUUUAUGUAUUAUUCCCUAUAAAAAUGAUUAAUUCGGAUUUUUGUCUAUAACCGGGCUUCAACCAUUAAAUGCUAUAAGAAUGUACAGUUGUUGGUUUUAUUAGAAAAAUUGUUCAUGUUAAAGCCGUAUGAAUGCACAUCUUAUGAGUUAGUGGCUUUCUUCUAGAAUCUUUUUCCCAUGGAAUGGCAGGGGUGUAAUUGAAAGCAUUUGAAGAAAUUGUAGGACAUGCUAUAAUAAGUACUUGAAAAUUCUGGACAUUUGGGUUUGUGUUUCAUUGGACGAGCUUUUGAGAUGUGGCGUUUGAAACUAAUGAAAGUAUCGUAUGAAGUUAUAUGUCAUAGGGGUAAAUUUUUGAGAGCUAUUAUGUUUGCCAAUUGUCAAAAUUGCUUUCGAUAGAUUAUAUGAUUUUAACAUGUAAAUUUUUUCCAGUCGAAAGCGCCCGAAAGAGUGGUGCUCGUAUACCAUAACUUAUUCUUCUGUGAACUUGAGCUUGAUUCUUAAUAUAGCCAUGAGGAUUUGUUAUUUAUCUGGGUCUAGGAAGUGCAACGAAAUAUGGUGUGGCCUCCACAAAUCAAUCAUCGAAUGUCUUCAAUGCCUAGGUUGAUUGCGGUUGCAAUUGACAGGGAUAAAGGAAGCCAAAUUUUGAUCCAUGUUAAAGUAAAACAUAGUUCACCAUUUUUGGCUACAUCCGCAUCUCUUCCUUUGCCAAGUAAAUCUCUCUCUCUCUCUCCCUCCCUCCCUCCCUUUCUGUGUAUGUGGGUAGUGUACAUAUUUGUGGAGUUGCUUGCCUGCAAAUUGUAGUACUAGUGUUUUGGCUCGGCCGGGAUGGCAGGAUAGACUUGGGGGUGGGGUGUUGGUAUUUUGAGUAAUUUUUGUUUCCAUACACGUUUGAAUAGGUUUCAUUUUUCGUAAGCAAAAGAAUCUACUUAUUUUGGUAGUAAGUUAAAAGGUUAAUUUCAAAUCAGCUUGAUUAGUAUAUAAUCAAUUUGCAAAAUUGAGAUUGGCAUAGGAAUGAUUUGGUAAGAGAUUGAGGCCAUGUCCUCCACGUUGCUUUUAUAUUUCUAGUAACAUUCAGUUGAAUAUUGUUCGAGGAUUGAUACGUUUUCAUAAAAUAAUGAGUUCUGAAGUUAUCAUACUUAAGAUUUAGAUACAAAAUAUAUGUUGCAUUAAUUAAAAUUAUCAUAUUUGUUGAGACUUUCCACCAGUUAAAGUGCUUGGUUGCUUUUAGUGUGUAUAAGCAGUUACCAGUUAAUAUUCACACAAAGUCAAACAGGUUUACAUUUUUACAAUCUAGUCAUUGUAAAUAUUAUCAUAUUUUAGUGAGUUUAACUUUCGUUUUGAUUAUUGUUUUGCAAGUUUAGGUAGAUGAUGGGGAUAAUUUUGUCAUUACAUUCUAAGUUGUUUGUCCUUGGCCUAUGUUGGUGGUUUUUUCAUUGGUCAUUAUCUAUUGCAUUAUAUUUAUUCAGUUCAAGCGAUAAUACUUAUCUAGUGAGAAUUAUGUUAGCUGAAAUUUUUGUUAUCUUGUUAGCAUCAGCAGAUUGCAAUGGAUUAAAGAAGUUGGCCUUGGAGGAGAAAAUCAUCCGAUAAGCAAGUGGCUGAGAAAGCACCCCCUGUUAUCAUUUUUUUUUUUUUUUUUUUUUUGUGGAAAAUGUAUCGAAUUUUUAGGUGUUUUAGAAUUUUAGAUUUGGAUUUUGUAUGAAUAUUGUUACAUUUUAAAGUUCAAUUAAUAAUUAUUAUUGGAGUUAUUUGAUAUAAUUA